AUUGAACGCUGGCGGCAUGCCUUACACAUGCAAGUCGAACGGCAGCACGGGUGCUUGCACCUGGUGGCGAGUGGCGAACGGGUGAGUAAUACAUCGGAACAUGUCCUGUAGUGGGGGAUAGCCCGGCGAAAGCCGGAUUAAUACCGCAUACGAUCUACGGAUGAAAGCGGGGGACCUUCGGGCCUCGCGCUAUAGGGGUGGCCGAUGGCUGAUUAGCUAGUUGGUGGGGUAAAGGCCUACCAAGGCGACGAUCAGUAGCUGGUCUGAGAGGACGACCAGCCACACUGGGACUGAGACACGGCCCAGACUCCUACGGGAGGCAGCAGUGGGGAAUUUUGGACAAUGGGCGAAAGCCUGAUCCAGCAAUGCCGCGUGUGUGAAGAAGGCCUUCGGGUUGUAAAGCACUUUUGUCCGGAAAGAAAUCCUUGGCCCUAAUACGGUCGGGGGAUGACGGUACCGGAAGAAUAAGCACCGGCUAACUACGUG
Molecule: ribosomal RNA, 486 nt
Filed under: uncultured bacterium
Lineage: Bacteria
Description: partial 16S ribosomal RNA
Rfam family: Bacterial small subunit ribosomal RNA
Source: RNAcentral